This 253-nucleotide ribosomal RNA is filed under the name uncultured bacterium. Its description in RNAcentral is "partial 16S ribosomal RNA". It matches the Rfam family "Bacterial small subunit ribosomal RNA", at positions 524 to 776 of the family's 1533-position model. The record is from RNAcentral.
UACGGGGGGGGCAAGCGUUGUUCGGAAUUACUGGGCGUAAAGGGCUCGUAGGUGGCCAACUAAGUCAGACGUGAAAUCCCUCGGCUUAACCGGGGAACUGCGUCUGAUACUGGAUGGCUUGAGUUCGGGAGAGGGAUGCGGAAUUCCAGGUGUAGCGGUGAAAUGCGUAGAUAUCUGGAGGAACACCGGUGGCGAAGGCGGCAUCCUGGACCGACACUGACACUGAGGAGCGAAAGCCAGGGGGGCAAACGGG